RNAcentral lists this ribosomal RNA (429 nucleotides) under Actinomycetes bacterium. RNAcentral describes it as "Actinobacteria bacterium partial 16S ribosomal RNA". It matches the Rfam family "Bacterial small subunit ribosomal RNA", at positions 355 to 776 of the family's 1533-position model. The record is from RNAcentral. Lineage: Bacteria; Bacillati; Actinomycetota; Actinomycetes.
UAGGGAAUCUUCCGCAAUGGGCGAAAGCCUGACGGAGCAACGCCGCGUGAGUGAUGAAGGUCUUCGGAUCGUAAAACUCUGUUAUUAGGGAAGAACAAAUGUGUAAGUAACUAUGCACGUCUUGACGGUACCUAAUCAGAAAGCCACGGCUAACUACGUGCCAGCAGCCGCGGUAAUACGUAGGUGGCAAGCGUUAUCCGGAAUUAUUGGGCGUAAAGCGCGCGUAGGCGGUUUUUUAAGUCUGCUGUGAAAGCCCACGGCUCAACCGUGGAGGGUCAUUGGAAACUGGAAAACUUGAGUGCAGAAGAGGAAAGUGGAAUUCCAUGUGGAGCGGUGAAAUGCGCAGAGAUAUGGAGGAACACCAGUGGCGAAGGCGGCUUUCUGGUCUGUAACUGACGCUGAUGUGCGAAAGCGUGGGGAUCAAACAGG